GAUGAACGCUGGCGGCGUGCCUAAUACAUGCAAGUCGAGCGAACAGACGAGGAGCUUGCUCCUCUGACGUUAGCGGCGGACGGGUGAGUAACACGUGGAUAACCUACCUAUAAGACUGGGAUAACUUCGGGAAACCGGAGCUAAUACCGGAUAACAUGUUGAACCGCAUGGUUCAACAGUGAAAGACGGUUUUGCUGUCACUUAUAGACGGAUCCGCGUCGCAUUAGCUAGUUGGUAAGGUAACGGCUUACCAAGGCAACGAUGCGUAGCCGACCUGAGAGGGUGAUCGGCCACACUGGAACUGAGACACGGUCCAGACUCCUACGGGAGGCAGCAGUAGGGAAUCUUCCGCAAUGGGCGAAAGCCUGACGGAGCAACGCCGCGUGAGUGAAGAAGGUCUUCGGAUCGUAAAACUCUGUUAUUAGGGAAGAACAAAUGUGUAAGUAACUAUGCACGUCUUGACGGUACCUAAUCAGAAAGCCACGGCUAACUACGUG
This 497-nucleotide ribosomal RNA is filed under the name uncultured bacterium. RNAcentral describes it as "partial 16S ribosomal RNA". It matches the Rfam family "Bacterial small subunit ribosomal RNA", at positions 28 to 507 of the family's 1533-position model. The record is from RNAcentral.